RNAcentral lists this transfer RNA (68 nucleotides) under Marmota monax (woodchuck). RNAcentral describes it as "tRNA.Ala". The record is from RNAcentral. Lineage: Eukaryota; Metazoa; Chordata; Mammalia; Rodentia; Sciuridae.
GUCGUGGCUCAGUGGUAGAGUGCUUGCCUAGCACGUGUGAGGCACUGGGUUCAAUUCUCAGCACCACA